RNAcentral lists this ribosomal RNA (253 nucleotides) under uncultured bacterium. RNAcentral's name for it is "partial 16S ribosomal RNA". It matches the Rfam family "Bacterial small subunit ribosomal RNA", at positions 524 to 776 of the family's 1533-position model. The record is from RNAcentral.
UACGAAGGGGGCUAGCGUUGCUCGGAAUUACUGGGCGUAAAGCGCACGUAGGCGGCUUCUUAAGUCGGUGGUGAAAUCCUGGAGCUCAACUCCAGAACUGCCUUUGAUACUGAGGAUCUUGAGUUCGGGAGAGGUGAGUGGAACUGCGAGUGUAGAGGUGAAAUUCGUAGAUAUUCGCAAGAACACCAGUGGCGAAGGCGGCUCACUGGCCCGAUACUGACGCUGAGGCACGAAAGCGUGGGGAGCAAACAGG